CCUACGGGUGGCAGCAGUGGGGAAUAUUGGACAAUGGGCGAAAGCCUGAUCCAGCCAUGCCGCGUGUGUGAAGAAGGCCUUCGGGUUGUAAAGCACUUUCAGUGGGGAAGAAAGCCUUGGGGCUAAUACCCUCGAGGAAGGACAUUACCCACAGAAGCAGCACCGGCUAACUCCGUGCCAGCAGCCGCGGUAAUACGGAGGGUGCGAGCGUUAAUCGGAAUUACUGGGCGUAAAGCGCGCGUAGGCGGUCUGAUAAGCCGGUUGUGAAAGCCCCGGGCUCAACCUGGGAACGGCAUCCGGAACUGUCAGGCUAGAGUGCAGGAGAGGAAGGUAGAAUUCCCGGUGUAGCGGUGAAAUGCGUAGAGAUCGGGAGGAAUACCAGUGGCGAAGGCGGCCUUCUGGACUGACACUGACGCUGAGGUGCGAAAGCGUGGGUAGCAAACAGGAUUAGAUACCCCUGUAGUC
RNAcentral lists this ribosomal RNA (465 nucleotides) under Vreelandella stevensii. RNAcentral's name for it is "partial 16S ribosomal RNA". It matches the Rfam family "Bacterial small subunit ribosomal RNA", at positions 338 to 795 of the family's 1533-position model. Lineage: Bacteria; Pseudomonadati; Pseudomonadota; Gammaproteobacteria; Oceanospirillales; Halomonadaceae. The record is from RNAcentral.